UUUUCGUUUCCAAAUUUAAUUCUUGUCCUGAAGUCCCUACUCAUUUUCGCGCACCCCUCUCUUCUCCAUCUUGUCACAUUUUUCUUUUCUCAUCCUCGAGACUUCUUCUUCAACAGGACCAUACAUCUUCAUUCUCUCUGCUUCUUGUUGAUUUCGCAUUCGUACAUCACAUAACCACAUCUUCGUUCUUGUCUUGCGAUUUUUCUCCAACUCUAAGCAUCAUCCUCUUCUCCAUAAUUUGCUUUCUAUUUUCACCUUUUUCUUCGAUUUCAUCGAUUAAAUCAUCGUUUAUCACCUUUUCCACCGAUUAAAACACCUUUUCUCUGUCCGUUCGUCAUUUCUACCGUUCAAUCUCGCCUUUGAACCGAUUAAUCGGUUCACCUAGGGUUUCCUCGAGUAGAUUCCCAUUACUGCAGUUUGUGUAAUAAAAGAAUAGGGUUUACGUAUAACUUGAUUGCUCCCGGUGACUCCGUCAUGGCAGUUACUAUUAGGAAGGUUGUUAGAGAGGUCGCUCAUGACGGUUGAGAUGCAGAGCGCGUUAAGCUCAAACUGGAAAUUAAAGUCGAAGAGGUAUUUGUGCUAUCAGUAGGAUUUUUGUUCGGUUUUUCAAGUUGUGUUAUCUUGAUUUUGUUUUAUACCAAGUUGCUGAUUAUGACAAAGAAGGUUCUAUUCUGCGUGUUCGUGGAAAGAACAUUUUAGAGAAUGAACAUGUCAAGGAGCUUUCCAUACUCUAGAACUUGAACUGCAGCGACCGUUUGUGGUCAGAAAGGAGCUAUAUGUCGUGCUGCUGUGGUCAAGGGAUUCCAAUUAAACCAAUUUGAGAGGCUUGGUGGUGGUGCUAACACUCUGAGUAAAAGAUACUCUAAAGGUGAUCUUGGAGCAGAAAUUGUAGGCACAUUUAUUCUGGUUUAGUCAGUUUUCUCAACCACAUGCAAAACGAAAUGCUAAAGACUUGCAUGUUCUUAUUUUAGCACCUUUGCCUAUUGGUUUUGCUGUCUUUCUGGUGCACUUGGCUACAAUUCCUAUGACAGGAACUUAUCCAUGCUAGAAGUUUAGGCGUAACUCUCAUAUACAACAAGGACCAAGCUUGGUAUAAUCACAGCUAGCCUUCUGCAACAGCCACAUCCUCCUAGCACUUUUUCACUUUGUUUUCUACUGCACCCUCCAAGUAUGUUUGCUCUCUUAUAGUCACCCUACCUUCUAGAAUUGUGACUGUUCUGUCUCCUUUGUUUUAAUAGCUUAUUAUCGUUACAAGCUCCCUCAUGAAGGACAUGAUUAAUAAGACUGGUAUGUACAGGGUUUACCAAAAUUAUCAAAGCUACAUGUUACAAAGAUCUUUAAUGAUUUACCUCGAAUGGAAGUUCCGAACAUUGAAGACAUUAAUACCAAGUAGACUUCUUUUAUUUUAAGUGUUAGUAAAUUGUAGAAACUUGACUACAAUGUAGUAUAGGUUAAUGUUAUAUUUGGAUUUAAUAUAUGGUUUGAUUUAGAAAUUAUGUAUUAAAUAUUAUUACAUAUUUGAAUGUUUGAAAUGAAUUUCAUUAUGAUAGUUUAAUUGAAUAUGUUCAUUUCAUGUUA
Molecule: long non-coding RNA, 1578 nt
Organism: Vigna angularis (adzuki bean)
Lineage: Eukaryota; Viridiplantae; Streptophyta; Magnoliopsida; Fabales; Fabaceae
Exons: 7
Source: RefSeq, a predicted model, not a curated record